This 701-nucleotide ribosomal RNA is filed under the name Lutibacter sp. RNAcentral describes it as "bacterial SSU rRNA". It matches the Rfam family "Bacterial small subunit ribosomal RNA", at positions 28 to 720 of the family's 1533-position model. Lineage: Bacteria; Pseudomonadati; Bacteroidota; Flavobacteriia; Flavobacteriales; Flavobacteriaceae. The record is from RNAcentral.
GAUGAACGCUAGCGGCAGGCUUAACACAUGCAAGUCGAGGGGUAACAGGGAAGAGCUUGCUUUUCUGCUGACGACCGGCGCACGGGUGCGUAACGCGUAUAGAACCUACCUUUUACAGGGGAAUAGCCCAGAGAAAUUUGGAUUAAUGCCCCAUAGUAUUAUUGAAUGGCAUCAUUUAAUAAUUAAACAUUUAUGGGUAAAAGAUGGCUAUGCGUUCUAUUAGCUAGAUGGUAAGGUAACGGCUUACCAUGGCAACGAUAGAUAGGGGUCCUGAGAGGGAGAUCCCCCACACUGGUACUGAGACACGGACCAGACUCCUACGGGAGGCAGCAGUGAGGAAUAUUGGACAAUGGAGGCAACUCUGAUCCAGCCAUGCCGCGUGCAGGAAGACGGUCCUAUGGAUUGUAAACUGCUUUUAUAUAGGAAGAAACCUUUCCACGUGUGGAAAGCUGACGGUACUAUAAGAAUAAGCACCGGCUAACUCCGUGCCAGCAGCCGCGGUAAUACGGAGGGUGCAAGCGUUAUCCGGAAUCAUUGGGUUUAAAGGGUCCGUAGGCGGACUAAUAAGUCAGGGGUGAAAUCCAACAGCUUAACUGUUGAACUGCCUUUGAUACUGUUAGUCUUGAGUUAUAUGGAAGUAGAUAGAAUAUGUAGUGUAGCGGUGAAAUGCUUAGAGAUUACAUAGAAUACCGAUUGCGAAG